This 31-nucleotide non-coding RNA is filed under the name Homo sapiens (human). The record is from RNAcentral. Lineage: Eukaryota; Metazoa; Chordata; Mammalia; Primates; Hominidae.
UCCAGACACGCCGCUUUAAGAGCUUGUAACA